Molecule: ribosomal RNA, 441 nt
Filed under: uncultured Neocallimastigomycetes
Lineage: Eukaryota; Fungi; Neocallimastigomycota; Neocallimastigomycetes
Description: LSU rRNA
Rfam family: Eukaryotic large subunit ribosomal RNA
Source: RNAcentral
GCUCAAAUUUGAAAUCUUAAAGGGUUUCCCUUUACGAAUUGUAGUUUAAAGAAGUGUUUUCUGUUGAGGUUUUGGUAAAAGUUCUUUGGAAUAGGACAUCGUAGAGGGUGAGAAUCCCGUAUUUGACCUUUACUUUCAACUUUGUGAUACACUUUCAAAGAGUCGGAUUGUUUGGGAAUGCAGUCCAAAAUGGGUGGUAAAUUUCAUCUAAAGCUAAAUAUUGGCGAGAGACCGAUAGCGAACAAGUACCGUGAGGGAAAGAUGAAAAGAACUUUGAAAAGAGAGUUAAACAGUACGUGAAAUUGUCAAAAGGGAAGCGUUUGACACCAGUGUUGUUUUUCUGAAAAUCAAUUAAAGAACUGUUUAUGCUAAGUUGUUUAGACUUUAUCAGCUAUCUGUUUAGUUUUGAGCUUUUCUUUAAUGCACUUUUCGGUUAACAAG